RNAcentral lists this non-coding RNA (58 nucleotides) under Erysipelothrix rhusiopathiae. RNAcentral's name for it is "Fluoride sequence". It matches the Rfam family "Fluoride riboswitch aptamer (crcB RNA motif)". The record is from RNAcentral. Lineage: Bacteria; Bacillati; Bacillota; Erysipelotrichia; Erysipelotrichales; Erysipelotrichaceae.
UUACAAAACGGUGAUGGGGUUUGUCAUAACUGCGACAGCUGAUAACUCCUACAUAAGA